UGUUUUUCUUUUUUUGAAAACUUUGCUUUGGUAGGCCUUCUAUAUGGGGCCUGCCAGAGAUUAAACUCAACCAAAUUUUAUUUAAUGUCAACCGAUUAUUUAAUAGUCAAAACUUUCAACAACGGAUCUCUUGGUUCUCGCAUCGAUGAAGAACGCAGCGAAAUGCGAUAAGUAAUAUGAAUUGCAGAUAUUCGUGAAUCAUCGAAUCUUUGAACGCACAUUGCGCCCUUUGGUAUUCCAAAGGGCAUGCCUGUUUGAGCGUCAUUUCUCCCUCAAACCCUCGGGUUUGGUGUUGAGCGAUACGCUGGGUUUGCUUGAAAGAAAGGCGGAGUAUAAAYUAAUGGAUAGGUUUUUUCCACUCAUUGGUACAAACUCCAAAACUUCUUCCAAAUUCGACCUCAAAUCAGGUAGGACUACCCGCUGAACUUAAGCAUAUCAAUAAGCGGAGGAAGARGAUCAUUACAGAAUGMAAAGWGCUUAACUGMAUUUUUUCUUACACAUGUGUUUUUCUUUUUUUGAAA
This 521-nucleotide ribosomal RNA is filed under the name Lodderomyces parapsilosis. RNAcentral describes it as "eukaryotic LSU rRNA". The record is from RNAcentral. Lineage: Eukaryota; Fungi; Ascomycota; Pichiomycetes; Serinales; Debaryomycetaceae.